UGAUGAGUUUCACUGUAUAAUCAGUUGCUUCCUUCCUCUUGUUGUCAGAUUGUUUUGGUAGAGGUGUGGAGUCUAGCCCUGGAGGAGCUCUUGUGCUGGAAACUGCUGGGAUCUGUGUUUGUGGAAAGAACAUCUAGAAUAACAACAUUUUCUGGUUCCAUACAUAAUUCAAAUCCAUCACCAAUGGACGGGCUGUUUCAGUUGCUUUUUUUCUCAGGAUUCUGUUCAUUUACUGGGGCCAUCUCACGUGACUAUGUUGUAAUUCAGGAACAGAAGACUUGGAAACAGGCACAAGCUUACUGCACAGCAAAUCACAUUGACUUGGCUACAGUUCAAAGUGAUGAAGACUGGACGAAUCUACGAGAUGCAGUUAAAAAAAAUACUAAAAUGGCUUGGAUUGGACUGUACAAUGACAUCAAUAGCUGGCGGUGGUCAUAUCAAAAUAAGAAAACGGCAUUUAGCUCUUGGAGCUCUGGAGAACCAAACAACUAUGCUGGAGAAGAGGCUUGUGGUGCAACGUAUGGUAGCUCAUGGAAUGAUUUUGAUUGCAAUACUCUACUUCCAUUUUUUUGCUUCAAUGGUAAGAAAUGAUAUAAAUGUUAUUAAUGUAAAUACAGUGGGUACGGAAAGUAUUCAGAACCCCUUAAAUUUUUCACUUUUUCUCCACACAUAACGCUUAGAAUUAAGGCCAAAAAGUUCUAUCUUGGUCUCAUCAGACAAGAUAAUCCUUCAGGUGUUUUUUUUUAGCAAACUCCAUGGGGGCUUUCAUGUGUCUUGCACUGAGGAGAGGAUUCCGUCGGGCCACUCUGCCAUAAAACCCCGACUGGUGGAGGGCAGAAGUGAUGAUUGACUUUCUACAACUUUCCCCCACCUCCUGACUGCAUCUCUGGAGCUCAGCCACAGUGAUCUUUGGGUUCUUUACCUCUCUCACCAAGGCUCUUCUCCCCCGAUAGCUCAGUUUGGCAAGACGGCCAGCUCUAAGAAAGGUUCUGGUCACCCCAAACGUCUUCCAUUUAAGGAUUAUGGAGGCCACUGUGCUCUAAGGAACCUUAAGUGCAGCAGAAUUUUUUUUGUAACCUUGGCCAGGUCUGUUCCUUGCCACAAUUCUGUCUCUGAGCUCUUCAGGCGGUUCCUUUGACCUCAUGAUUCUCAUUUGCUCUGACAUGAACUGUGAGCUGUAAGGGCUUUCCUAAUCAAGUCCAAUCAGUAUAAUCAAACACAGCUUUAGAACCAUCUCAAGGAUGAUCAGAAGAAAUGGACAGCACCUGAGUUAAAUACAUGAGUGUCACAGCAAUGUGAUAUUUCAGUUUUUCUUUUUUAAUAAAUAUGCAAAGAUGUCAACAAUUCUGUGUUUUUCUGUCAAUAUGGGGUUCUGUGUGUACAUUACCGAGGAACAAAAAUGAACUCAAAUGAUUUUAGCAAAUGGCUGCAAUAUAACAAAGACAGAAAAAUGUUAGGGGGUCUGAAUACUUUCCGUACCCACUCUAUUUUGAGUGGACAAUGUAGUCAGCCUAGCAUAGUAAUAAGCCAGUGUUCCUCAGAUCUUACCCUGGAGGGCAAAUGCCUUGCAGAGUUUUGGUCAAACCCUAAUCAAGCACACCUGAGUACGCUCAUGGUUUGAUCAGGGUAUGAGCAGGGGCCCUCCAGGACUAGAUUUGAGGAAACCCUGUAAUAAAUUAUAAAUAAUCUAACUACCAUACAGAAUAAUACAGGAUCAUUUAGUAGUAAUAUAAGGCCUGUGUUACAUUGUACACAAAAGAGCUUCAUAACAGCUACAGUGAGCUCAUUUUAUGCUUUCAUGGUUACAUUAUUUCUGCUUCUGUAAUGUGGAUGAACUUGGAGUAUUGAGUGUUUCUUCAGUCAUAAUUAUUAAAAUCAAAAGUUAUUACACAUUUGAUUGUAAUAAAAUGUAAGUUUAAUGGAGAGAAAGAUCACAAUCAUUUUCAAAGAUCAUUUUCUAUAUCAAGAGCUUCACUGAAUAUGUUAAACUGCAUUUAAAUGGGCUUUGCAUGGUCUUCUAGAUUUGCUUCACAUUUGCACUUGUUUUGAAUGAUUUUCAUUUUGGAUUGUCCAAUAGAAAAUCCAGUCAUACUGUUGGAUCUGAUUUAAGGUAUUUAUGCAUAUGAGGCAUUUCAAAACAGGUGAAUACAUGUUUUGUAACGUUUACCUCCUUUCACAAGGUUUUUUUUUUUUUUUUUUUUUAUCCUGACCACCAGGUGACACAAGUAGACUCACUUAUUUCUGAAUAAGAGAGGAAGCAGUCGAGUAAGAAGCACAUAAGUUAAGUAAAGUUGCCUUGAUCACUUGACUACUUAAAUGACGUAUUUCCUGUAUUUGGACCAAGUGAGGAUGAAGACUACAAGUGUGUGUACACACACUUUUCAUAAUCUGAUGGCACACACUUGUAGUGUUGUAAAAACGCAAGUGUUUACAGAGUUUUAAUAUUUAUUUUCAAUACUUUGCAUUUUAAAUGUCUGUUCAGUAGUCCCUAUAACAGAUGACACAAAUACAUUUCUGGUGCUUCUAAUUAAGUAAUAAAAAGCAGUUGCAAAUGAUGCACAAAAUAAAUAUAGGCUACUCAUCUUUGUAUCAUUAAAAUGUCUAGCACUUUGUUUAAUUACCAAAUUAUAUGUAAUAUAUAAUUAUUCAUAAUAUUUCAUUUACAUCGGAAAGGUUUCCGUGACCUCUCUUGAUAUUGGCAAAAAGUCUCGAGAUUUACAGCUCCGGAGCGGUAUUCAAGAUAAUGUGGAUUUAGUGUGUGUUAAGGGCACUGUGCUUUGGUGUUUUUAAGAUCUGGACAGUCUUGCGCACUUACUUCCUGUCGUGUGCACGCGCUCUCAAGUAGUCAAGACUGCAAGUGUGGGUAUUUAGACAAGGCAAGUAUCUGCCAAGACCCUCUACACACUCCUGUACAGUAGGUGGUGAUAUUCAAUAAUUAGUAAAAGUUGCAAAAGCAAAGAAGAAGAAGCAGAUUCUGUUUGAAUUCCUCAUGGCUUAUUUGUUAGACAUAUAAUCCUGGUCCGAGAAAUGUUUAGUUUGGUGCUCAAUCAUUAGUUUGCUAUUCUAUGUUCACACUUUGCUGUGAAAUAUUUGUACAACUUUGGUGCUUCUUUGAGUGUUAUCACACCUGUCCAAGGAUUAUACCCAAAGGCUUAUCUCUGCAAGGAUUUCUACAUUGCAUCCAUCGUCUCAUCAUCAGAUAAGACUGUUAAACUGCUCAUGAACUGCACUAAUUUACAAAACUUGCACAAAUCGUCAUCAGCAUUGCUGGACAUUCUGUAUUCAAAAACUCUUCCCAUUUAUUCUGGACAUUGUGUGUGUGUGUGUGUGUGUGUGUGUGUGUGUGAGAGAGAGAGAGAGAGAGAGAGAGAGAGAAAGACUAGGGGAAUUUGUGUAUUUGUAAAGU
This is a long non-coding RNA of Carassius gibelio (silver crucian carp), 3406 nucleotides long. RefSeq lists it as uncharacterized. The record is from RefSeq and is a predicted model, not a curated record. The transcript has 3 exons. NCBI's taxonomy places the organism in Eukaryota, Metazoa, Chordata, Actinopteri, Cypriniformes, Cyprinidae.